RNAcentral lists this unclassified non-coding RNA (160 nucleotides) under uncultured Sordariomycetes. RNAcentral's name for it is "sequence contains ITS2". The record is from RNAcentral. Lineage: Eukaryota; Fungi; Ascomycota; Sordariomycetes.
CGACCCCUCGAGCCCCCCGGGGCUUGGUGCUGGGGCCCUACGUGCGUCGUAGGCCCCGAAUUCCAGUGGCGGGCUCGCCGCGGUCCCGAGCGUAGUAGCGACACCUCGCUCCAGGGACCCCGCGGCGGGUGCCGGCCGUGAAAACCCACACCGAUUUUAA